This 437-nucleotide long non-coding RNA is filed under the name Anas platyrhynchos (mallard). RNAcentral describes it as "lncRNA (ENSAPLG00020000402.1)". The record is from RNAcentral. Lineage: Eukaryota; Metazoa; Chordata; Aves; Anseriformes; Anatidae.
AGCCCUGAAGCCCCGAGCAGGGGCGGAGGUGGCAGCGCCCGCCCUGUCCCCGCCCAAUGUGUGCGGGGCGGCCCGGCCAUGGCGGGCGGUUACGAGCGGCUGAGCCCGAGCGGCGACAAGAAAUGCAGCCCUGAGGAAAAUGUUUUUUGCCUCAGUAAAUUAACAUAUGCCUGGUUUAGCAGUUUCAGUAGAAAGGAGGCCCAUAUGGAUAGUGAGGUCCACCCCCACUAGAAUUUUGUUACUUCCAACAAAAAGUUUCUGUAUCUUACUCUGCACACUGUGCUAAGCACAAUGGCACACACGUUAACACGAAGCCCAGCACUGGCACUGACUGGCACAGAAGUCUGCACUGGAAGCACGCUCUAGAGAAGAUGGACACUGCAUCUGCAUUUCAGCCCUCAGGGAGGAAAAUAACCAUCAGCCUAAAAGCAUUACAG